Bombus pyrosoma is the source of this 1993-nucleotide long non-coding RNA. RefSeq lists it as uncharacterized. The record is from RefSeq and is a predicted model, not a curated record. The transcript is spliced from 3 exons. NCBI's taxonomy places the organism in Eukaryota, Metazoa, Arthropoda, Insecta, Hymenoptera, Apidae.
GCCGAUCCCCAGUCUAGCGGCUGUGUUUCGCUCGACCGGAUGCGGUCAACGUGUCUUCGACCGAUUGAAUCUCGCUCUCUCGGAACUAGAGGGACGCGUAGGUGUAUCGAGCAGUCUCGGUUCUUUCGCGUGUUUUUGGCACGACGGAGAUCGGUGAAAGCCAAUCUUGCUGAGGGAAAGAACUCGAUUCGUCAACCGUUUACACAUCGUCGAUCACCUUUGUUUUAAUGUAAUUGCCGUUUAUUUGGACGAUUUUAUAUAGAAUUUAUGUAGUUUUGUUGGAAAACUGGUCAAGUUGUGCAGUGUCGUGACCAUUUCCAUGUCGCUGAUUUCAAAGGAGGAAUAAUACGCUUGACGGAUUACUUUUAGUGCCCUUAAGGCGGAUGCGUGGGAUUGGCGCGCAAUGAUUCUUUAUGGGUGUGCUUCUACUACUACUUUCGUCUUUUGCUGAUCGGAUGUGACCACUGUGUCCACUCUUCUAUUUUACACGUUCACUGGUUUCAACAAAUGCUGAUUCAAACUUAACCUAAAUCAUUCAAAACUUUAUAACUUCUUACUCCAUACUAUUCAGGACAUAAACAUUAUUGUAUGAAUGAAGUUAAUUUUCAAAGUUAAUAUUAUUCGUUAAGUACUAGGAUCUUUUAUAAAUUGUUUUAGAGACAUUUUUACAGAUAUGUAAUCAAAUGUAACGACUAUAUAAAAAUAUCUAUUUGCAAUCAUUUGAUGUAUAUCUGUAAAUAUGUUAGAAAUGAAUUUUUUGCCAGAUAUUCCAUUAAAUAAUAUACCUAAUGAAUUUGAUAAAAUAUGAAAAUAUUUGAUAGUCAAACGCUUCAAAUGUAAAGAUUGUUCGAUUUAUCGCUUCGCUUGUGUUAAAUGUAGCGAAAAUUAUGUCAGGAUUAUAUGAGGUAAUAAAUUAACGCAUUCUAGAAAUUUGCUUACUGUAUUCUAAUCAUAUAAGAGUAAAUGUUUGCAUCGGAAAUUCUGUCCUUCAUGGAUAGAGGUUAAAGGUAUGUAGGCUAACGGUAUAUGUAUAUAUACGUAUAUAUAUAUAGAAAUAAAAAAGACAACGAAAAGAACUAGGAGGAAGCUGCGUUUACGUUAUGAAGCUAAUUUCUGUUUAAAUACCAUAAUUUUGUUAAAUAUUAUUUGAUAAAUUAUCUUAGGAAUUGUGAUGAAUUAAAAAUUUGUAUUAUAUAGAAAACUAUAUAAAUGUAAGAUUUUCUAUUUUUUAAAUAUUUGUGCUAUUAUACAUUAGAUGGAAUUAAUAACGUAAACAAAUUGAAUUAUAUGAGUAAUUUAAUUAUGUUUUCUAUAAUGAGGAUAAUAAAUUGGCCAAAUUUGUAUUACAGGUAGUAAAAGCAAUGUGGAAAAGUAUAUUCCGAUCGAUUAUGUUAAUUAUUAAUUAAUAUAAAUUGUUAACUUAGAUUUUCUAUUGCUAUUAAGCAGGUUUGAACAAGGAAUAAGAAUUAGGGGAAAAAGUUAAAAAUAAGGAAUAUAAAUACAUUUUUGCUUGGUUAUAUACAUAUCCAAAAGCUUACUUAUCAAAAUAAGUAUUUAAUAAACCGUGCAUACUGUAUUUUCGAACAAAAAGAAAAAUAAAAGAAUAAUAAAAUAGAAUUUUCCAUUUUCACGUACAGUAACAAGUUAAUGUUACACAAUUUCCUAAAAAUAAAGUACGAUGAUAAUUAAUCGUAAAACAUGAUGAUAAUUUCUGCAUGAAUAUUUUGUGCGCAUUGCGUGUAAAUUUUACUAUAUAUCUAUUUUAUAAUUUACAACGCAAAGUGCAACAUCCCUGUCUCUGCACGUACAAAUAAUACAAGCAUAAAUAAUAUUUAUAGACCAAAAUAUUAAUUAAAUACAAAUAUAAAAAAUACUGCAUUUUAGAUAGAGUCAAAAAAUGUUAAAUCUUUUAAAUGAAUAUUAUAUAUUUAAUAAUAUAAAUAAUGUAAUACUUAAAUAUCAAUGAAUAUCAGUCAAUGCGAACAUCUCAAUU